UAUAGUUUAGACAUAAAAGCACCCCAAAACAAAGUAGCCAAACAACAAGAAAGCAAAAACAAGGAGCACUAAGUAACUACAAAGUUGGAUUUAUGUAACAACUUCAUAAUUAACGAGGAAGGUCGAGACCAUGAUGAAUAAGUGAAAUAUUAGGUGAUCUUCCAUGCCGAGCCACCAAGCCAUCCACAAUGGCGUUCCAUUCUCUAGGGAUAAGAUUAUGUUGUUGGUAGAUAGGGAAGUACAUAGUAGAUGUAGAAUUGCUAGGAUUCAGUCUAGAGAAAGUAGAGUGGAUAUGGAGGCAAGUUUUAAUAUUAUGGGCAAGUCUCUUUAUGACUUUAGAGACAAUGACAUGAUCGUUAUCAGAGAAAUUCUGAGUAACCAAGGAUCAUGUUUAGUUUAAGAGCAUAAUUACACAUGGUAGAAAAAUUCUGAGUGGCUAGCAAGAAGAGAUAAGGGUCUAAGAGUCUCCUUGUCUGACCCCUCUAUUGGCUCUAAUAAUCUUUGAAGAUUGACCAUUGAUUAUGAAAGAAAAGCUAGUCAAAUUUAGACAAGCCUUGAUCCAAUUGAUCCAAACCGUAGGAAAGCCCAUUUUUGCACAGGUGGCAAGAAUAACAUUCCAAUUGAGAGUGUCAUAAUCUUUCUCGAUAUCUACCUUCAAAAUCAUCCUAAGGGCAGUGCUAGUUUCUUCUUCUAAAGAGUUGAACCAUUUCUUUCACCACAAUAAUGAUAUCAAUUGAGUGACAACCAGCUAAAAACCCAUGCUGCUUGUUAUUGAUAAGAUUAGGUAAAACCAACUGUAAUAUAUUAGUGAGAAUUUUAUUAAUGAGCUUUUAACAAAUGUUGCAAAUAUAAAUAAGCCUAUAGUUAGUGACUUUGCAAGGAUGAUUAGAUUUAGGGAUAAGAACCCCAAAAGUGUGACUCUAAGGUUUAGGCAUGGAAGCAGUCAUUAAAAAAUAGCUAAUAGUGUCAAACAAACUAGUAGCAAUGCCUCCCAAAAGAAGCGAUAAAACUCUGUGUUGAAGCCAUCCAGGCCAAGGCUCUUGCCUGUGGUAAGUGUCAUAAGGGUUUUCAAGAUUUCAACUUUAGUGACUCGUCUAGUUAGAAGCUCAUUGCCCCUGAUGGAAAUGGUAUUGAGAUUAGAGGGUAGAGCAUUCAGAAUUUCAGAGAAAGGGGUUUGCUGACUGCCAUUCCACAAAUCAUUGUAAAAAUUUAUAAAAGACUUUUCAAUACCAUCUCUAUUGUGGAAAGUAUUGCCACUGAAGUUUGAACACUCAUAUGAUAAAAACUUGAAUCAACAGCCCUAUCCUGAAUUCACAUGAGCUGUGUUCUCUGGGCUCAUUUAGGAGAAUUUUGCCUGGGAAGAGCAUUGAGUUUGUUGUGCAGGAUCUGGGAGCUACCAACCUUUGGGUAUUCUGCGCUAGAAUUAAAUUUGGCUCUUAGUUUCCAUGAUUUCUUCAUCUAAAGAAUUAAGUUUGCUAGAUCUCCAUGUAAUCGACCCAUUUCUACAACAGGAUAGAAUGUGAGAGAAAGUAUGUAUAGCAGAGGCUUUAGUAAGUAAAUUGAGGAAAUCCCUAAUCAUUUUGUGACAAUCAAAUAUUCUAACUAGUAAUCAUCAAAUUUAAAAAUUCUAUUCAAAUAAUGAUUGAGAGUACGGGCUAUCAUCAAAAAAGGAGCAUGAUCAGAGGCAAUUAUGGCAAAUUUCCUAACUUUAUAACAAGAAAAUAUAGUAAUCCAGCUAACAUUAGUAAGAAAUCUAUCAUGUUUGGCCCAAUUAUUACUGUUGAGUUGUUGAGUUGGUAGCUGCGAGAAAAGGAUACUUUCAAUUCUUAUUUUACUGAAGCAAGAAAAAUACACUUCUCUUGUAGGCACAUUGCACCCCACAAGAGAAUAGAUUUACAUCAAGAACAUAUAUAAAUAAAGAAUCAAAGAUAUCACAAUAAUGAGAAAAAGCUUUUAGCUUUAAAAAAAGAAGUUUUCAUAUUACCAAAGAAAUCGAUAGCAAGCAUAGAUAAUUCCCAGGUAAAAGCAAUUCUAUUAGAAAUUAAUAUCCACCCAUGCAUGAAUAGAAGAGACUUUUAAGAUGGCAAAAGUGUUUUUUUAUAAUAUAUAAUUUUGAUAUUGUGAUAGCUAAAGGAACUAACAAUUGCCUCGUACAUUUUCUUACCAAAGGACUCAAUAGAGGCCAACCUUAUUAAUGAAUUCUCUAAUGUGAUAGAUAUUAUGAUAGCUUGUUUUGAUAAGUGGGUUGAGAUCCGUAACUCUCAUAUAAACAUUCUAGACAAUAAGGAAAAGGCAAUGGAGAAAUUAAACUCCAUCGAGAAAAAAAGAAUUGAAAGGAUCCACCAAAGGUGAAAAAAAAAGAAGAAAGAAUUCAAAGAAGAAAACUCUUCCUUGAGACCUCAAACAAACAACAAGAUAAGCAAAAUUGAAAGGGAUCAAAAUUCCCAAAGAAAAAAGAACUAAAGUUAUGUGGAAGAGAAAGCAAUCAAAGCAUUGUAAGAUUUCCAUUCAAUAUUAGAAGGAUAACAUUGCUAUGGAAAAGAAUCAUUGCUUAAAUCCAAGUUUUAAUCUAUCUCCUGACCAUCGGGUGCAUACCCAAUUCCAAUGGAGAGCAAGGUAAAAUGUGUUAUAGAUAUGGCCGCAUCAGUUCCAUAUAUGUUAGCGCAGAGAAUAAAGUUGUCCUUGCUUUGAAAAAUUAUUCAAUUUUCUAUUGAAGCAAAUUUUAUAAAGUUUGGUUUAUUCUCAUCUUUCACAAUGAUUGUUGGAGUUGUCAUUUAUGAGAGAGAACAACGGAACAGAGAGAUUUCACCUUAUUCACAUUGGAUGCUUUGGGAAAACUGUAGAUUAUUAUGGCAUGAGGUCUACACAUUAUUACUUCGUAGCUCAUCAACACCAUUAAACCCCAGCCAAGUGGCAGAGAGCAUAAAAAGAGGUUACUGUUUGAGCCGUUAACUAUCAAAUCAUUGUCAAUUAGUAAAGCAUGAGGUCCCACAUUUUAUAAUUUUGUAAUGCUUAGGGUACGGUGUGCUCUGGAGAUGCCUUAAGCAUUAAGAAACCUCCCUUUAUAAAAUGGAAGAGAAACCUUUCUCCAGAGCAGAAGAAGAAAAAAACACUCCACUGGACCUCCUACCAGUCUCAGAGCAAUCUUUGUAAGUGUGUUUAUUUAGAAGUCUUAAUAGCUUCAGAGAAUCUCUCUCUGAAGACGCUAAGGUAUAUGCUGCUUCAUUAUGAAUGAAUAUAGCUUGAUUUCUAUCUCAUCCUUGCCCUAGAAUACUUUGAUUCUAUUCUUAGUAGAACUUUUUAAAUUAGAAGUUAGUUAAUUGGUAGAGAUAGUAAAUCUAUUAGAAGAAAGCAAUAAUAUAUCAAAAUAUUAGGCGAUAGAAAUCUUUGUUAGUGUGUUUAUUUAGAAAUUUUAAUGGCUUCAGAGAAUCUCUCUCUGAGGACGCUAAGGUAUGUGCUACGAAUAUAGCUUGAUUUUUAUUUAAUGUACGAGGCAAUUGUUAGUUCCUUUAGAAGAUGAAUAGACUUCCUGAAAAUACAGUAAUCGUAGGAAAAGGAAUUGAGUUAGAAUUAGAUGAAGUAUCAAGACUAGAAAUAGAAAUGAUAGAAAAAGGUCAUUUAUUAGAAAAUGAUAGGUUAAUGCAUGAUGAAACAGGAGGACUAGUUGUAAAAUAUGAAAAUAGUAAUAAUGAAACAGGAGAACUAGGGGUAAGAUAUGAAAAUAAUAAUUUAGAAUUAAUGAAAUCUGGCAGUAGUAGUAAUGCCUCGCAAGUAGAUGCAAUUAGGAAACUAGAACAAUUACAAAUUAAAACAUGGAGUGAGAUAAAGCCUUUUUAUCAAGAUUUCAUGUAUUAUAGUACCAAAGCAGGAUGUUUUUAUGAUAAAGCAAUAGGAGAAAAAUUAUUUUUAAAAUUACCCGAACCAUUAGGUAGUAUAAUUCAUAAAAAAUAUAAUGAACAAGUAUUACCUAAGACACCGCCUCAAUUUGUUAACAUAGCAACAAAAAUCAAAUUUAUAGAUGAUCAAUUUGAAGAAAAACGUACAGAGUUACAAAUUAUUAGAGAAUUAAAUGAAAUGCUAAUAGAAUUAGGAUGAAUAGUGAAUGUGAGCACAAGUGGAAAAAUAAUAGUGGUAGUAAUGACAAACCCUCUAUACACUGUAAUAGAUAUCCAGUACUAAAGCUAAGAUACCAAUGCAAAAACUGUUUAGUAGAAUGUUGUAAAUUCUGUCUAGAAAAAUCAGUUACCUUACCAUUACCUGAACCAGUAGUCAAUACAAAUAUUAGAGCGCAAACCUUAGAAUUAAGGAUAAUUAGUUUAGAAAAUAGGCUUGAACAAUUAAGAGUAGAAUUUGAUAAAUUAAUCCAUCAACUUAAAAUCAGAAAUUUAAUAGAUAAUGAACAAUAUGCAAAGCUAGGUAGCACAGGACAGAAACAAUUUAAUAUCGAAGAUGCUAGGCAAAUAGAAAAAAUUAAGUUAGUAAAGGAAAUACCUGAUCUUAAACUCCCUUUAGAAAACGAUUAUUUAAUAAUAGAAACCAAUGGAUGUGAACUAGGAUGGGGAGCCGUAUUAAAAAGGAAACCCAAUAAAUACUCAUCUAGAGUAGAAGAGGAGAUAUGUAGAUAUAGUAGUGGACAGUUUAAUGAAAUAGGAUUAACUUCUAGCAUAGAUCAAGAAUUUCUAGCAGCUAGCUAUGGUUUAGAUAGUUUUAGGUUUUUUUUACUAAAUAAAAAAGAAAUAUUAGUUAGAAUUGAUUGUGAAGCUAUAAUUAAAUUCUUUGAAAAAAGUAAUAGCAAAAGAAUUAGCCAGCGUAGAUGGUUAGCGCUCAAGGAUAGAAUAGUUAAUUCAGCAUGUAUUGUGGGAUUUGAGCAUAUUAAAGGUAGUGCUAACAGUUUAGCAGAUAAACUGUCUAGAUGCUUAUUUGAACAUCAAGUAGUAGAAGCCCCACCUUGAGGUGGAGGUAGAAGGUAAUGUAGAUUUAAACUCCUAUAUUAGUAAUGCAGAUUUACAUUCUUGCAGUAGUCAUUAGAUAGUGGUCAUUUGAUAAUUAUGUUAAUUAAUAAAAUAGCUCAAACCCAGAGUUUGUCCAUCUGAAUAAUAGUAAAGACUGUGGCUGUAAAACCAACAGGUCCAUUCGCGUUCUUUACUAUGGUGAGAACUCGGUGCACUGACCUUUAGACUUUAGAUAUAAUUCUUGUAAAAUUUCUUGUAAAACCAGCAGGUUUGCCAAUAAUUCCCCACAGCACAAAUUUGUCCUUCCGAGCUCCACUUAAAUUACAUUUCGAUCUUAAAGACCAUGUCCUGAUAGACAACUUACAGAUAUCCCCUACCACUCCAAGUUUUGCAAGUAUACUCACUAAAUUAACCAUCCACCUCCACCUUAAAAACUCUCUAUGCCCAACUUGUGACCGAAGAACAAAUCCCCCUGAGACCAUGCUCUCUGGAAGCCUACAUCAACAUGGAAAAUCAGGUAGAACUUCUAAACUCCCAACUAGCAGAGGAAAAAGAAAAGAUAAAAGUGAAGCAAAACAAAAAAAAUAAGAGGAGAGGUUGAGUUAAAGAAAAAGGAGUGGGAAAAAGAAAUUAAAGAAAAAUGGGAAACAUGCUGGGAUGGGAUUCCAAAACAAUUAUCUCCAGUUAAACAAGAAUCUCUUCUGCGUUACCAAGAACAACACCGAAACAGCAACUUCUGUACAUGUGAAAAAGGAUUGUCAAUUAACAUGGCAGGCUGGCUUUCCAUGUUGCCACCGGCAACUACACAACUUUUGUGAUCUCCGAGGAUGGAGAUGUCUAUUCAUUUGGGUGCGGUGAAUCUUUUAGUUUGGGUCAUGCCACUGCCAUAGAUGGACAGGCGAAUCGGCAUGCUAAUGUGUUCAGCCCGCAACUAGCAACUUCACUGAAGCAGAUUAAAGAGAAGGUGGUGCAGAUCAGCCUCACCAAUUCAAUAUACUGGAACGCGCACAUAUUCGCCCUGACAGAUUCUGGCAACCUCUAUGCCUUCGGGGCUGGUAACAAGGGGCAGCUUGACAUUAAACUUAUCGCCCAGUAAAGCAAAAGAGGGGUCCUGGAGCCAGUCGACAUCGAUGUCAGUUAGUUCUCCAACUGGUGAUCUCCAUUGCAACCAUCACCAAACAAUGCUACCCUUCUUAUCAACCUGAUUAUUGUUUAUAGCCCUUUUGCAGCAUGUUUGUGUUUAAAUUCCUCGUCUGUAUAUGUGCAUAUAAUGAAAUGUUUAUGUUCAAUGAAAAGCUGCACGUCACUCUACUAAAAUUCUUCUGGUUUAAUUUCU
Molecule: long non-coding RNA, 6288 nt
Organism: Dioscorea cayenensis subsp. rotundata (Guinea yam)
Lineage: Eukaryota; Viridiplantae; Streptophyta; Magnoliopsida; Dioscoreales; Dioscoreaceae
Exons: 3
Source: RefSeq, a predicted model, not a curated record